AGCUUUGUGCAGCGGCAAUAUUGUAGCCAACGCGGUUUAUCCAAGGCAUGAUUGUUGCUAAUUGAAAACUUUUCCCCAUAUCCUGCCAUGAUGACUUGAAAUACAGUUGGCAUUGGCAAUUUUUGAGAGUCUCUAUGGAAA
Molecule: small nuclear RNA, 141 nt
Organism: Jaculus jaculus (lesser Egyptian jerboa)
Lineage: Eukaryota; Metazoa; Chordata; Mammalia; Rodentia; Dipodidae
Gene: U4
Rfam family: U4 spliceosomal RNA
About the family: U4 small nuclear RNA (U4 snRNA) is a component of the major U2-dependent spliceosome. The structure of U4 snRNA from yeast and human has been reported. U4 snRNA presents a k-turn RNA motif in the 5p-SL related to recognition of Snu13 protein.
Source: Ensembl